AGUGCCAAACAUUACGAAGUUCGCCGUUCGCUCGUGCAACUUUGUGGUAGGGAUUAUUUAAAAAAAAAGUAUUUUGCUCGCCAAAUGUCUUUUUAAGUCUUUCAGACCUAAAUGCAAGGCGCCGAUGCUACCUGCUUACUCGAUUGUGACAUACCUGCAGUUAACUAUACCAGAAGGAAGACAUCUCAGGACAACCCGGAACGAGUCUUCAGGGAGUUUGCCGAAGAAGCGGCUACUCGCUACCAACACCAGAAGCGCAGAACCCGGGGCAAUGGGUAACAUCGCUGCUGACUCGCCCGAGCCUUGGGAACUUGGCUGGGGAGUCUGCAAUCUCGAGGCAAGCAUAUGCAUUUAUUAACAGUUGCUGAUUACAAGUGGCAAGAUAAGCCUACCCCCCCCCCCCCGCAGACUUUUCUUCGUGGUUUUGACGAGUAUCUAGACGUUAUGCAUGUUUUAUACAAGUUGUGAAUUAAUAUUAUAUCUUGUGUACUUAAAAUAAGAUUUUAAAAGAAUACCAGUGAAUAAGAGAAACCAAUGAAUGUGCUGAUAAAAUGGUUAAUUAUUUAUUUACUGAAAUAAUAAUUUGAGUAAUAGUUUUGUAUGUCUGUGAACUUGUAAUGAAAUAAUUAAUGUUAUUGAAACAUCUCGAGUUUGCUCCUUGGUAGAUUUUUGCAGUUUCACUUAGCUUCUUAAUAGAUUAUAAAAUAGUUCAACAUAACUACUGACAGAGAAUAUGUUGAGAAGGAUAAGGUAGGUACCUAUUAGUGCACGAUAACCAGUUAAUUAAUUUUUGCAGUGCACAAGAAAAUAAAACCCAAGUGUAUAAAGUUUAAUUAUAUGAUUAUUUUAUAACUGUUAAGCUCAUAGUUUAUAUCUUUGUUAUAGUAUUGGUUUGGAGAUAUCUCGCUGGAUUAGCCAAUGGAAACAUUUAAAAUUUAUGUGAAGCAAGAGCCAUACAUUAUACUGUGUGUCUGGGUUAUAUAGCUUGUGCUCGUUCAUGAAUAAAAUUGUGCUUGCAUAUAGA
Molecule: long non-coding RNA, 1024 nt
Organism: Bacillus rossius redtenbacheri
Lineage: Eukaryota; Metazoa; Arthropoda; Insecta; Phasmatodea; Bacillidae
Exons: 2
Source: RefSeq, a predicted model, not a curated record